GACGAACGCUGGCGGCGUGCUUAACACAUGCAAGUCGAACGGAAAGGCCCUGCUUUUGUGGGGUGCUCGAGUGGCGAACGGGUGAGUAACACGUGAGUAACCUGCCCUUGACUUUGGGAUAACUUCAGGAAACUGGGGCUAAUACCGGAUAGGAGCUCCUGCUGCAUGGUGGGGGUUGGAAAGUUUCGGCGGUUGGGGAUGGACUCGCGGCUUAUCAGCUUGUUGGUGGGGUAGUGGCUUACCAAGGCUUUGACGGGUAGCCGGCCUGAGAGGGUGACCGGCCACAUUGGGACUGAGAUACGGCCCAGACUCCUACGGGAGGCAGCAGUGGGGAAUAUUGCACAAUGAGCGGAAGCCUGAUGCAGCAACGCCGCGUGCGGGAUGACGGCCUUCGGGUUGUAAACCGCUUUCGCCUGUGACGAAGCGUGAGUGACGGUAAUGUGUAAAGAAGCACCGGCUAACUACGUG
This 468-nucleotide ribosomal RNA is filed under the name uncultured bacterium. Its description in RNAcentral is "partial 16S ribosomal RNA". It matches the Rfam family "Bacterial small subunit ribosomal RNA", at positions 28 to 507 of the family's 1533-position model. The record is from RNAcentral.